This 254-nucleotide ribosomal RNA is filed under the name uncultured bacterium. Its description in RNAcentral is "partial 16S ribosomal RNA". It matches the Rfam family "Bacterial small subunit ribosomal RNA", at positions 524 to 776 of the family's 1533-position model. The record is from RNAcentral.
CACGUAGGGGGCGAGCGUUGUCCGGAUUUAUUGGGCGUAAAGAGCUCGUAGGCGGUUCGGCAAGUCGGGUGUGAAAUUUCGAGGCUCAACCUCGAAACGCCACUCGAUACUGCUGUGACUGGAGUCCGGUAGAGGAGUGCGGAAUUCCUGGUGUAGCGGUGAAAUGCGCAGAUAUCAGGAGGAACACCAAUGGCGAAGGCAGCACUCUGGGACGUGACUGACGCUGAGACGCGAAAGCGUGGGGAGCAAACAGG